RNAcentral lists this ribosomal RNA (392 nucleotides) under uncultured bacterium. Its description in RNAcentral is "bacterial SSU rRNA". It matches the Rfam family "Bacterial small subunit ribosomal RNA", at positions 28 to 420 of the family's 1533-position model. The record is from RNAcentral.
GACGAACGCUGGCGGCGUGCUUAACACAUGCAAGUCGAGCGGUAAGGCCCUUUCGGGGGGUACACGAGCGGCGAACGGGUGAGUAACACGUGGGUGACCUGCCCUCAGCUCUGGGAUAAGCCUGGGAAACCGGGUCUAAUACUGGAUAUGACUCCAUGACGCAUGUUGUGGGGUGGAAAGCCUUGUGCGGCUGAGGAUGGGCCCGCGGCCUAUCAGCUUGUUGGUGGGGUGANGGCCUACCAAGGCGACGACGGGUAGCCGGCCUGAGAGGGCGACCGGCCACACUGGGACUGAGACACGGCCCAGACUCCUACGGGAGGCAGCAGUGGGGAAUCUUGCGCAAUGGGCGAAAGCCUGACGCAGCGACGCCGCGUGAGGGAUGACGGCCUCGG